UACGUAGGUGGCGAGCGUUGUCCGGAUUUAUUGGGCGUAAAGAGCGUGUAGGCGGCCGAGCAGGUCCGUUGUGAAAACUGAAGGCUCAACCUUCAGAGGUCGAUGGAAACCGUUCGGCUAGAGUCCGGAAGAGGAGAGUGGAAUUCCUGGUGUAGCGGUGAAAUGCGCAGAUAUCAGGAAGAACGCACGUGGCGAAAGCGGCUCUCUGGGACGGUACUGACGCUGAGACGCGAAAGCGUGGGGAGCGAACAGG
Molecule: ribosomal RNA, 253 nt
Filed under: uncultured bacterium
Lineage: Bacteria
Description: partial 16S ribosomal RNA
Rfam family: Bacterial small subunit ribosomal RNA
Source: RNAcentral